CAUUUGAAUAGAACUCCAUAAAUUGAAAAUAAAGAAACCAAAAAAAAAUCCUUUCAAUUGAAAAUCCCCAAACCCUACAAAAUAUCAUGCUUCUACCCAGAUUAGCUCUCCAAAACCUCAAGCUCACAUCGCUGCAACUCACAUAAAAUCUCAUAUCAUCGGAACCUCAAAACCCCUCUAAUAUCCUUGGAUGCUCUCCUUCUCCAUAGAUCUCCAAAAAAUGAUAACGAAAUGAAAAGAAAAAGAUGCAAAAACCAAAGGAAAAUGAUCAAUCUAUGAGGGAAAAGGGCAUACUUUUGAUUUU
This 304-nucleotide long non-coding RNA is filed under the name Elaeis guineensis (African oil palm). Its description in RNAcentral is "long non-coding RNA (EGUI_LNC081043)". The record is from RNAcentral. Lineage: Eukaryota; Viridiplantae; Streptophyta; Magnoliopsida; Arecales; Arecaceae.